GGGGGAAGCCGUCCUGCUGAGAGGAGGCAGGUUUUUUGGCUGGCUUUGCAGUUGUUCCGCUGUUGGAGAGGCAAAUGUGAAGGGAGAAGCCGCUGGCGCUAAGGCCGCGCAGUGGUGUUUCUCUGUGGCGUGUUUCUGAGCUUCCAGUGGGAUGGGGGUGCCCACUGGGGACAGUGGUGCAAGCGUCCACGCUGUUUCCAGUUCAGAGUGUUGUCACCCGGGCCCGUCGUUUUGCAGCUACUUGCAGAUUAUGCGGGUUACACAAACAACAAGAUUUCUAGUUAGAAGCCUUUUUGCCGGCGAUGACUCAGAGAUGCUACUGUUUCAGCAGCCAGCAACUGAUUUUAGCCUAAGUAUAUACUGGAGGAAACAAAGAAGAGAAAGUUACCGUGAUAUUUUGGCUGUAAGAGUGCAGCACCAAAAGCAGAAUGAGGGAGAUCUGUCACACUCCUGAGAAGACUGAUGUCACACACAUAUAUGUCUUCGUUUUGCAAAGCACACAUAUGUUUAUAGUCACUGCAGCUGGAGUGACAAUAGGGUUCAUCACUGACCCAUAACGGAAGUGCCUUUUUUUUUCGUCUUCCGGUGACGCUAUUUCACAGAAGAUGGCUGGAGGUCCUGGUGGUGCUCAGGCAGUGCAAAGCGUUAUAGUGUUUAAGAUCAUCGUCUUAGCUACAGAGCGGGGUCAGAUCCAGAGACAGAGUAGCUGCAGUGCUGCACAAAAGCUAAUUAGCCUAAGUACGAUGCAAUUAGCUCCAUACCAACGUGUCUUUUUUUCUGUGUUCCCCGAGUUGACUCAGUUGUUCAUAGAUCAGGGGUCUCUGAACGUUGUCUUUUUUAGACGUGUCUGCAGUUGGAUCUCAAAAGCAUUGUGACGUGGUUUUGAGAGUAAACAACGGUUGAAUAUGGAUGUGAAUUUGGGUUUGAUAAUGCCGAAAUCAUUUUUACUCUUUUCCAUGGAUUUGGAGACAAAUCAGCCGUGUGUGUGUUUAUAUAUAUAAAAUUUCUCCUGAUUGUUCUUACAAAGUGUUUUUGUCAGAAAAUCCAGGUAACUUUAUUGUUCAAUAAGGAAAGAGUCAACUAUUAGGCACUGAUUGUCACAAAUGUACUUUCCUUGACAUGAGAAAAUCUGAACCUUUGUGGGAAAUUCACUCUGAGAUCUGGAGAGGUAUAUUCUACUAACAGUUCAGGCCAUGUUUCUUAAGACAAAUUUACUAUCCUUUACCACUCAGUUGUCUUCUAAAAUACAGGACUUAAUUAAAGAAAAGCAAUCUUGAAAUUAGUGGGUGGUACAGAACUGAAGAAUUAUGGAAGAUUGCUGAUUCUUUGGCAGAGAAUGGAAAAAAAUGAUGUAUGAUACAGUAAUUUGAAAACUAGGUUUGUGAGUGGCAAAGGAUGACUGUUCUGUGCAAUGUUUGUGCAUAUCUAGCUCAAAGAAUUCUGUCUCAUAAUUAAGGAUCCUACCUGUGAUCGUGAUACCUGUAAAUGAAGGAUAUAUGCCAAUGAAACGUUGGCAAUAAACUUCAAAUUAAGUAAAAUCCA
RNAcentral lists this long non-coding RNA (1542 nucleotides) under Struthio camelus australis. RNAcentral's name for it is "lncRNA (ENSSCUG00000010696.1)". The record is from RNAcentral. Lineage: Eukaryota; Metazoa; Chordata; Aves; Struthioniformes; Struthionidae.